UAAACUGCCAUGUUGUCAUCUUUGGACUCUCUCUUUGCCCACAAGGAACAUAUAGCACAGGUAGCAAAAGUGUAGAUGUCCACAGUAUGUGCCAGCCAAGUGCCUCAACCCUGAUGCAGACGUAAUCAUCUGCAGAGAUGAGUUUGUAGUUCAGUCUCCAUGCCCAUUUAAUCUUUGGCUUCU
Molecule: unclassified non-coding RNA, 183 nt
Organism: Chelonoidis abingdonii (Abingdon island giant tortoise)
Lineage: Eukaryota; Metazoa; Chordata; Testudines; Testudinidae
Source: Ensembl